AGCAGCCGCGGUAAUUCCAGCUCCAAUAGCGUAUAUUAAAGUUGUUGCAGUUAAAAAGCUCGUAGUUGAAUUUCGGGGUUCUACCGUUGGUCGGGCAAUUGUCUGUACUGGCGUGUGGAAUUUCUACCUUCUGGGGAACCAUCAUGUUAUUAAUUUAGCGUGGUGGGAAACCAGGACCUUUACCUUGAAAAAAUUAGAGUGUUCAAAGCAGGCUUACGUCUGAAUACAUUAGCAUGGAAUAAUAAAAUAGGACGGUGG
This 258-nucleotide ribosomal RNA is filed under the name uncultured Gigasporaceae. RNAcentral describes it as "partial 18S ribosomal RNA". It matches the Rfam family "Eukaryotic small subunit ribosomal RNA", at positions 569 to 833 of the family's 1831-position model. The record is from RNAcentral. Lineage: Eukaryota; Fungi; Glomeromycota; Glomeromycetes; Diversisporales; Gigasporaceae.